Molecule: small nuclear RNA, 107 nt
Organism: Gracilinanus agilis (Agile Gracile Mouse Opossum)
Lineage: Eukaryota; Metazoa; Chordata; Mammalia; Didelphimorphia; Didelphidae
Source: RefSeq, a predicted model, not a curated record
GUGCUUACUUCAGCAACACAUAUACUAAAAUUGGGACAAUACAGAAAAGAUUAGCAUGUACUCUGCACAAGGAUGACCCACAAAUUCACGAAAUAUUCCACUAAAAA